GUCACUUUGUUGGUACGUGAACUAAAAUUGGAAUCAUACAGAGAAUAUUAGCAUUGGCCUUGCACAUAGAUGCAAUACAAAAUUGUGAAGUGUUAAAAAAUGAA
Schistocerca nitens (vagrant locust) is the source of this 104-nucleotide small nuclear RNA. The record is from RefSeq and is a predicted model, not a curated record. Lineage: Eukaryota; Metazoa; Arthropoda; Insecta; Orthoptera; Acrididae.